This 248-nucleotide ribosomal RNA is filed under the name uncultured Actinomycetes bacterium. RNAcentral describes it as "uncultured actinobacterium partial 16S ribosomal RNA". It matches the Rfam family "Bacterial small subunit ribosomal RNA", at positions 28 to 276 of the family's 1533-position model. The record is from RNAcentral. Lineage: Bacteria; Bacillati; Actinomycetota; Actinomycetes.
GACGAACGCUGGCGGCGUGCUUAACACAUGCAAGUCGAGCGGUAGGGCCCUUUCGGGGGUACACGGGCGGCGAACGGGUGAGUAACACGUGGGUGACCUGCCCUCAGCUCUGGGAUAAGCCUGGGAAACCGGGUCUAAUACUGGAUAUGACUCCAUGACGCAUGUUGUGGGGUGGAAAGCCUUGUGCGGGCUGAGGAUGGGCCCGCGGCCUAUCAGCUUGUUGGUGGGGUGAUGGCCUACCAAGGCGA